Molecule: long non-coding RNA, 532 nt
Filed under: Cyanistes caeruleus (blue tit)
Lineage: Eukaryota; Metazoa; Chordata; Aves; Passeriformes; Paridae
Description: lncRNA (ENSCCEG00000020360.1)
Source: RNAcentral
AAGAAAUCUGAAGCAGUUGUCAUUUUCUCACCCACCGUGUAUCAGCUGCAUUCAGGGCUUUUGUUAGCUACAGUUGGCAGUAACCUUGGCCCCAUCAGAGAGACCAACACUUCACUGCUUAAAAUCAGGCAUUUUCCUGCUUCUGAGUAGAGCUUCAUAGAAAAGCUUCAUUUCCUCAUGGAAGAUCUUUCAUUAUCAACUUAAUGGAAAGAUCCAGGUCCAGGAUCCUGGGAAGCAUAACCAUUAACUUUGCCAUGCCAUUACAGACAUACCAGAGCCCUAAUGAGAGCAAAGCAAUGAGAAGUUGAGACUCGACCUCGGUAUAUUUUGAUAUUAAAAAAAAGAGAAAAGUUCCUGUGAUAGGAGACAGCCUCAGAAGAAUACUGAAAGGCAAAUGUGCAAGCACAUUGCAGCUAAGCUUGGCAGAGAAGCCCUCUCAGUGCUGUAUCGGGGGGAUUGUGCUGCUCAAAAUGUCAUCUCUCAGGUAAAUACACAGCCACUAUAUAUAGUGGCUUCCAAUUCCUUUGUAACU